GAUGAACGCUGGCGGCGUGCCUAAUACAUGCAAGUCGAGCGAACGGACGAGAAGCUUGCUCCUCUGAUGUUAGCGGCGGACGGGUGAGUAACACGUGGAUAACCUACCUAUAAGACUGGGAUAACUUCGGGAAACCGGAGCUAAUACCGGAUAAUAUUUUGAACCGCAUGGUUCAAAAGUGAAAGACGGUCUUGCUGUCACUUAUAGAUGGAUCCGCGCUGCAUUAGCUAGUUGGUAAGGUAACGGCUUACCAAGGCAACGAUGCAUAGCCGACCUGAGAGGGUGAUCGGCCACCCUGGAACGGAGACACGGUACAGACUCCUACGGGAGGCAGCAGUAGGGAAUCUUCCGCAAUGGGCGAGAGCCUGACGGAGCAACGCCGCGUGAGUGAUGAAGGUCUUCGGAUCGUAAAACUCUGUUAUUAGUGAAGAACAUAUGUGUAAGUAACUGUGCACAUAUUGACGGUACCUAAUCAGAAAGCCACGGCUAACUACGUG
Molecule: ribosomal RNA, 497 nt
Filed under: uncultured bacterium
Lineage: Bacteria
Description: partial 16S ribosomal RNA
Rfam family: Bacterial small subunit ribosomal RNA
Source: RNAcentral